RNAcentral lists this ribosomal RNA (253 nucleotides) under uncultured bacterium. RNAcentral describes it as "partial 16S ribosomal RNA". It matches the Rfam family "Bacterial small subunit ribosomal RNA", at positions 524 to 776 of the family's 1533-position model. The record is from RNAcentral.
UACGGGGGGGGCAAGCGUUGUUCGGAAUUACUGGGCGUAAAGGGCUCGUAGGCGGCCAACUCAGUCGGACGUGAAAUCCCUCGGCUUAACCGGGGAAUGGCGUCCGAUACUGGAUGGCUUGAGUUUGGGAGAGGGAUGCGGAAUUCCAGGUGUAGCGGUGAAAUGCGUAGAUAUCUGGAGGAACCCCAGAGGCGAAGGCGGCGCCCUGGCUCGCAACUGACGCUCAGACACGACAGCAUGGGGAGCGAACGGG